Molecule: ribosomal RNA, 490 nt
Filed under: uncultured bacterium
Lineage: Bacteria
Description: partial 16S ribosomal RNA
Rfam family: Bacterial small subunit ribosomal RNA
Source: RNAcentral
AUUGAACGCUGGCGGCAGGCCUAACACAUGCAAGUCGAAUGGUAACAGGAAACAGCUUGCUGUUUCGCUGACGAGUGGCGGACGGGUGAGGAAUGUCUGGGAAACUGCCUGAUGGAGGGGGAUAACUACUGGAAACGGUAGCUAAUACCGCAUAACGUCGCAAGACCAAAGAGGGGGACCUUCGGGCCUCUUGCCAUCAGAUGUGCCCAGAUGGGAUUAGCUAGUAGGUGGGGUAACGGCUCACCUAGGCGACGAUCCCUAGCUGGUCUGAGAGGAUGACCAGCCACACUGGAACUGAGACACGGUCCAGACUCCUACGGGAGGCAGCAGUGGGGAAUAUUGCACAAUGGGCGCAAGCCUGAUGCAGCCAUGCCGCGUGUAUGAAGAAGGCCUUCGGGUUGUAAAGUACUUUCAGCGGGGAGGAAGGGAGUAAAGUUAAUACCUUUGCUCAUUGACGUUACCCGCAGAAGAAGCACCGGCUAACUCCGUG